UACAGAGGUGGCAAGCGUUGUUCGGAAUUACUGGGCGUAAAGGGCGCGUAGGCGGUCUUGUAAGUCUUGUGUGAAAUCCCUCGGCUUAACUGAGGAACUGCACGGGAUACUGCGAGACUUGAGAUCGGGAGAGGGAAGCGGAAUUCCGGGUGUAGCGGUGAAAUGCGUAGAUAUCGGAAGGAACACCAGUGGCGAAAGCGGCUUCCUGGUCCAGCACCGACGUUCAGGCACGAAAGCGUGGGGAGCAAACAGG
This 253-nucleotide ribosomal RNA is filed under the name uncultured bacterium. RNAcentral describes it as "partial 16S ribosomal RNA". It matches the Rfam family "Bacterial small subunit ribosomal RNA", at positions 524 to 776 of the family's 1533-position model. The record is from RNAcentral.